AACGAACGCUGGCGGCAGGCCUCAAACAUGCAAGUCUAGGGGGUGCAGCAAUGCAUCACCGGCGGACGGGUGCGUAACACGUGGGAAUAUACCUUUUGGUUCGGAACAACGCAGGGAAACUUGCGCUAAUACCGAAUGUGCCCUUACGGGGAAAGAUUUAUCGCCAAAGGAUUAGCCCGCGUCCGAUUAGCUAGUUGGUGAGGUAAUGGCUCACCAAGGCUCCGAUCGGUAGCUGUUCUGAGAGGAAGAUCAGCCACACUGGGACUGAGACACGGCC
This 277-nucleotide ribosomal RNA is filed under the name uncultured bacterium. RNAcentral's name for it is "partial 16S ribosomal RNA". It matches the Rfam family "Bacterial small subunit ribosomal RNA", at positions 29 to 331 of the family's 1533-position model. The record is from RNAcentral.